AUCUGUUUCCUACUACCCUGAACUCUCCCGAUCUCGCCUGAUCUCGGAAGCUAAGCAGGGUCAGGCCCGGUUAGUACUUGGAUGGGAGACCGUCUGGGAAUACCGGGUGCUGUAGUGG
Molecule: ribosomal RNA, 118 nt
Filed under: Notechis scutatus (mainland tiger snake)
Lineage: Eukaryota; Metazoa; Chordata; Lepidosauria; Squamata; Elapidae
Source: RNAcentral